AGAGAUCAUGGCUCAGGAUGAACGCUAGCGGCAGGCUUAAUACAUGCAAGUCGAGGGGGAUUAACUGGGUAGCAAUACUCGGUUAUGAGACCGGCAAACGGGUGCGGAACACGUACGCAACCUUCCCAAAACUGGUGAAUAGCCCUCCGAAAGGAGGAUUAAUACACCGUAACUUAAUGAAGUGGCAUCACUUUAUUAAUAUAGCUCCGGCGGUUUUGGAUGGGCGUGCGCCUGAUUAGGUAGUUGGCGGGGUAACGGCCCACCAAGCCUACGAUCAGUAACUGGUGUGAGAGCACGACCAGUCACACGGGCACUGAGACACGGGCCCGACUCCUACGGGAGGCAGCAGUAAGGAAUAUUGGUCAAUGGACGCAAGUCUGAACCAGCCAUGCCGCGUGAAGGAUGACGGCCCUCUGGGUUGUAAACUUCUUUUAUCUGGGACGAAAAAAGGUCAUUCUUGAUCACUUGACGGUACCAGAGGAAUAAGCACCGGCUAACUCCGUGCCAGCAGCCGCGGUAAUACGGAGGGUGCAAGCGUUAUCCGGAUUUACUGGGUUUAAAGGGUGCGUAGGUGGGUCUGUAAGUCAGUGGUGAAAUCUUCGAGCUUAACUCGGAAACUGCCAUUGAUACUAUAGGUCUUGAAUCAUCUGGAGGUGAGCGGAAUAUGUCAUGUAGCGGUGAAAUGCUUAGAUAUGACAUAGGACACCGAUUGCGAAGGCAGCUCACUACGGAUGUAUUGACACUGAAGCACGAAAGCGUGGGGAUCAAACAGGAUUAGAUACCCUGGUAGUCCACGCCCUAAACGAUGGAUACUCGACAUUUGCGAUAUACUGUAAGUGUCUGAGCGAAAGCAUUAAGUAUCCCACCUGGGAAGUACGAUCGCAAGAUUGAAACUCAA
This 898-nucleotide ribosomal RNA is filed under the name uncultured Sphingobacteriia bacterium. RNAcentral's name for it is "bacterial SSU rRNA". It matches the Rfam family "Bacterial small subunit ribosomal RNA", at positions 8 to 904 of the family's 1533-position model. Lineage: Bacteria; Pseudomonadati; Bacteroidota; Sphingobacteriia. The record is from RNAcentral.